UCACUCACUUCAGCAGCACAUAUACUAAAAUUAGAACAAUACAGAGAAGAUUAGCAUGGUCCCUGUGCAAGGAAGAAGUUCCAUUUUGACUUUGGUGCUGCUGUGGU
RNAcentral lists this small nuclear RNA (107 nucleotides) under Nannospalax galili (Upper Galilee mountains blind mole rat). The record is from RNAcentral. Lineage: Eukaryota; Metazoa; Chordata; Mammalia; Rodentia; Spalacidae.